RNAcentral lists this ribosomal RNA (382 nucleotides) under uncultured bacterium. Its description in RNAcentral is "bacterial SSU rRNA". It matches the Rfam family "Bacterial small subunit ribosomal RNA", at positions 518 to 898 of the family's 1533-position model. The record is from RNAcentral.
CGGUAAUACGUAGGAGGCGAGCGUUAUCCGGAUUUACUGGGUGUAAAGCGCGUGCAAACGGUUGGAUAAAUUGGGUGUGAAGGCUCCUGGCUCAACUGGGAGAGGUUGCUCAAGACCGUUCGACUAGAGCGUGGUAGGGGAAGGCGGAAUUCCGGGUGUAGUGGUGAAAUGCGUAGAUAUCCGGAGGAACACCAGUGGCGAAAGCGGCCUUCUAGACCAUGACUGACGCUCAGACGCGAAAGCUAGGGGAGCAAACGGGAUUAGAGACCCCGGUAGUCCUAGCCGUAAACGAUGUGAACUUGGCGGCGGGUGGAUAAAACUACUCGGUGCCGAAGCAAACGCGAUAAGUUCACCACCUGGGGACUACGGCCGCAAGGUUAAA